Molecule: ribosomal RNA, 750 nt
Filed under: uncultured bacterium
Lineage: Bacteria
Description: bacterial SSU rRNA
Rfam family: Bacterial small subunit ribosomal RNA
Source: RNAcentral
CAGGCCUAACACAUGCAAGUCGAGCGGACUUAUCCUUCGGGAUAGGUUAGCGGCGGACGGGUGAGUAACACGUAGGCAACCUGCCUGUAUGAUCGGGAUAACUACCGGAAACGGUAGCUAAGACCGGAUAGCUGGUUUCUCCGCAUGGGGGAAUCAUGAAACACGGGGCAACCUGUGGCUUACGGAUGGGCCUGCGGCGCAUUAGCUAGUUGGUGGGGUAACGGCCCACCAAGGCGACGAUGCGUAGCCGACCUGAGAGGGUGAUCGGCCACACUGGGACUGAGACACGGCCCAGACUCCUACGGGAGGCAGCAGUAGGGAAUCUUCCGCAAUGGGCGCAAGCCUGACGGAGCAACGCCGCGUGAGUGAUGAAGGUUUUCGGAUCGUAAAGCUCUGUUGCCAAGGAAGAACGCCUCGGAGAGUAACUGCUCUGAGGGUGACGGUACUUGAGAAGAAAGCCCCGGCUAACUACGUGCCAGCAGCCGCGGUAAUACGUAGGGGGCAAGCGUUGUCCGGAAUUAUUGGGCGUAAAGCGCGCGCAGGCGGUCUUUUAAGUUUGGUGUUUAAGCCCGGGGCUCAACCCCGGUUCGCACUGAAAACUGGGAGACUUGAGUGCAGGAGAGGAAAGCGGAAUUCCACGUGUAGCGGUGAAAUGCGUAGAGAUGUGGAGGAACACCAGUGGCGAAGGCGGCUUUCUGGACUGUAACUGACGCUGAGGCGCGAAAGCGUGGGGAGCAAACAGGAUUAGAU